UUUGUUGGUGGGGUAAUGGCCUACCAAGACGAUGAUGUGUAGCUGGACUGAGAGGUCGAACAGCCACAUUGGGACUGAGACACGGCCCAAACUCCUACGGGAGGCAGCAGUAGGGAAUUUUCGGCAAUGGAGGAAACUCUGACCGAGCAACGCCGCGUGAACGAUGAAGUAUUUCGGUAUGUAAAGUUCUUUUAUUGAAGAAGAAAAAAUAGUGGAAAAACUAUCUUGACGUUAUUCAAUGAAUAAGCCCCGGCUAACUAUGUGCCAGCAGCCGCGGUAAGACAUAGGGGGCGAGCGUUAUCCGGAAUUAUUGGGCGUAAAGGGUGCGUAGGCGGUUAGGAAAGUCUAUAAUUUAAUUUCAGUGCUUAACGCUGUCUUGUUAUAGAAACUACCUUGACUAGAGUUAGAUAGAGGCAAGCGGAAUUCCAUGUGUAGCGGUAAAAUGUGUAAAUAUAUGGAGGAACACCAGAAGCGUAGGCGGCUUGCUGGGUCUUGACUGACGCUGAGGCACGAAAGCGUGGGUAGCAAACAGGAUUAGAUACCCUGGUAGUCCACGCCGUAAACGAUGAGUACUAAGUGUCGGGAUAAAACUCGGUACUGAAGUUAACACAUUAAGUACUCCGCCUGAGUAGUACGUACGCAAGUAUGAAACUUAAAGGAAUUGACGGGACUCCGCACAAGCGGUGGAUCAUGUUGUUUAAUUCGAAGAUACACGAAAAAUCUUACCAGGUCUUGACAUGCUCUGCAAAGCUAUAGAAAUAUAGUGGAGGUUAUCAGGGACACAGGUGGUGCAUGGUUGUCGUCAGUUCGUGUCGUGAGAUGUUAGGUUAAGUCCUAAAACGAGCGCAACCCUUGUCGUUAGUUACCAGCACGUAAUGGUGGGCACUUUAACGAGACUGCCAAUUAAACAUUGGAGGAAGGUGAGGAUUACGUCAAAUCAUCAUGCCCCUUAUGAUCUGGGCUACAAACGUGAUACAAUGGCUGUUACAAAGAGUAGCUGAAGCGCGAGUUUUUAGCCAAUCUCAAAAAAGCAGUCUCAG
RNAcentral lists this ribosomal RNA (1040 nucleotides) under Candidatus Phytoplasma fraxini. RNAcentral describes it as "bacterial SSU rRNA". It matches the Rfam family "Bacterial small subunit ribosomal RNA", at positions 245 to 1291 of the family's 1533-position model. The record is from RNAcentral. Lineage: Bacteria; Bacillati; Mycoplasmatota; Mollicutes; Acholeplasmatales; Acholeplasmataceae.